AGAGCGUACGGUGGAUGCCUUGGCGCCAAGAGUCGAAGAAGGACGUGGUAAGCUGCGAAAAGCUUCGGUAAGCCGCAAGCAGGCGAAGAACCGGAGAUGUCCGAAUGGGGAAACCCGGCUGGAGUAGUAUCCAGUCAUCAAGCACUGAAUAAAUAGGUGUUUGAAGACAACCUGGGGAACUGAAACAUCUAAGUACCCAGAGGAAGAGAAAGAAAACUCGAUUCCCCGAGUAGCGGCGAGCGAAACGGGAAGAGCCUAAACCGGUUGCUUAGGCAACCGGGGUUGCGGGACUUUCAUGAGAAGUAAGGAAGCCUAGCCGAAGAGGUCUGGAAAGGCCCAUCACAGAGGGUAACAAUCCUGUAGGCGAAAGGCGGAAAUGCUCGAAAGUAUCCCAAGUACCGCGGGACACGAGAAACCCCGUGGGAAUCCGGGGGGACCACCCCCCAAGGCUAAAUACUCCUUGGCGACCGAUAGUGAACCAGUACCGUGAGGGAAAGGUGAAAAGAACCCCGGGAGGGGAGUGAAAAAGAACCUGAAACCGUAUGCUUACAAACUGUCAGAGCACUUUAAAUGUGUGAUGGCGUACCUUUUGUAGAAUGGACCGGCGAGUUACGAUAACGAGCGAGGUUAAGUCGAGAAGACGGAGCCGAAGCGAAAGCGAGUCUUAAUAGGGCGGAAAGUUCGUUGUUGUAGACCCGAAACUUGGUGAUCUACCCAUGGUCAGGGUGAAGCUCAGGUAAGACUGAGUGGAGGCCCGAACCGACUUACGUUGAAAAGUGAGCGGAUGAAUUGUGGGUAGGGGUGAAAUGCCAAUCGAACCAAGAGAUAGCUGGUUCUCCCCGAAAUAGCUUUAGGGCUAGCCUCAAGAGAUGAUUUAUGGCGGUAGAGCACUGUUCGAGCUAGGGGCCUAACCAGGUUACCGAACUCUCACAAACUGCGAAUGCCAUAAAUUUAUCUUGGGAGUCAGACUGUGGGGGAUAAGCUUCAUAGUCGAAAGGGAAACAGCCCAGAUCGACAGCUAAGGUCCCAAAGUGUGUGCUAAGUGGAAAAGGAUGUAGAGUUGCUAAAACAACCAGGAUGUUGGCUUAGAAGCAGCCACCAUUUAAAGAGUGCGUAAUAGCUCACUGGUCGAGUGACCCUGCGCCGAAAAUGUAACGGGGCUCAAGCACACCACCGAAGCUUCGGAUUCAAGAAGCAAGAUGCUAGAGGCAAGAAACAAGAGGUAAGACUAAUAAUCUUGCAUCUUGCUUCUAGCAUCUUGCUUCUUGAGUGGUAGGGGAGCGUACUGAACACGACGAAGGUUUACCGGAAGGAGAGCUGGAGAGUUCAGUAGUGAGAAUGCCGGUAUGAGUAAGCGAAAAGGCAGGUGAGAAUCCUGCCCGCCAAAAACCUAAGGGUUCCUGGGGAAGGCUCGUCCGCCCAGGGUAAGUCAGGACCUAAGUCGAGGCGAAAAGCGUAGAUGAUGGACAAUCGGUAAAGAUUCCGAUACCACCUGGAUCCGUUUGAAGGAAGGGGUGACACAGGAGGGUAGGUCAAGCGCACGGUUGGUAGAGUGCGUCCAAGCCUGUAGGGAGAAAGAUAGGAAAAACCGUCUUUCAAAGAUCCUGAGAGGUGAUGGGGAGCGAAAAUAAGUAGCGAACUGACUGAUCCCACACUGUCAAGAAAAGCCUCUAACGAGGAGCCAGGUGCCUGUACCGAAAACCGACACAGGUAGGUGGGGUGAGAAUCCUAAGGCGCGCGAGAGAACCCUUGUUAAGGAACUCGGCAAAAUGACCCCGUAACUUCGGGAGAAGGGGUGCCUUUGUAAUGUGAGGUUUUUAACAGACUGAGCAUGAAGAGGCCGCAGAGAAAAGGCCCAAGCGACUGUUUAGCAAAAACACAGGUGCCUGCAAAGUCGAAAGACGACGUAUAGGUGCUGACGCCUGCCCGGUGCUGGAAGGUUAAGAGGAGAGGUCAGCGGAAACGUGAAGCUUUGAAUUGAAGCCCCAGUAAACGGCGGCCGUAACUAUAACGGUCCUAAGGUAGCGAAAUUCCUUGUCGGGUAAGUUCCGACCCGCACGAAAGGCGUAACGAUUUGGGCACUGUCUCAACAAGGGACUCGGCGAAAUUGUAAUACCGGUGAAGAUACCGGUUACCUGCGACAGGACAGAAAGACCCCGUGGAGCUUUACUGCAGCCUGACAUUGGAUUUUGGUAUAUCACGUACAGGAUAGGUGGGAGACUAAGAAGAUGGGACGCCAGUCUCAUUGGAGUCGCUGGUGGGAUACCACUCUUGAUGUGCUGAAAUUCUAACUUCAAGCCGUAAGCCGGCUGAAGGACAUUGUCAGGUGGGCAGUUUGACUGGGGCGGUCGCCUCCCAAAGAGUAACGGAGGCGCCCAAAGGUUCCCUCAGCGCGGAUGGAAAUCGCGCGAAGAGUGUAAAGGCAGAAGGGAGCUUGACUGCGAGAGAGACAUUUCGAGCAGGGACGAAAGUCGGGCUUAGUGAUCCGGCGGUACCGAGUGGAAGGGCCGUCGCUCAACGGAUAAAAGCUACCCCGGGGAUAACAGGCUUAUCUCCCCCAAGAGUCCACAUCGACGGGGAGGUUUGGCACCUCGAUGUCGGCUCAUCGCAUCCUGGGGCUGUAGUAGGUCCCAAGGGUUGGGCUGUUCGCCCAUUAAAGCGGUACGUGAGCUGGGUUCAGAACGUCGUGAGACAGUUCGGUCCCUAUCCGUCGCAGGCGGAGGAAAUUUGAGAGGCACUGUCCCUAGUACGAGAGGACCGGGAUGGACAGACCACUGGUGUACCAGUUAUCCUGCCAAGGGUACAGCUGGGUAGCUAAGUCUGGCAGGGAUAAGCGCUGAAAGCAUCUAAGCGCGAAGCCCCCCUUAAGAUAAGAUUUCCCACAGCGCAAGCUGAUAAGACCCCAGAAAGACGAACUGGU
Molecule: ribosomal RNA, 2920 nt
Filed under: Dehalobacterium formicoaceticum
Lineage: Bacteria; Bacillati; Bacillota; Clostridia; Eubacteriales; Peptococcaceae
Description: bacterial LSU rRNA
Rfam family: Bacterial large subunit ribosomal RNA
Source: RNAcentral